This 253-nucleotide ribosomal RNA is filed under the name uncultured bacterium. RNAcentral's name for it is "partial 16S ribosomal RNA". It matches the Rfam family "Bacterial small subunit ribosomal RNA", at positions 524 to 776 of the family's 1533-position model. The record is from RNAcentral.
UACAGAGGGUGCGAGCGUUGUCCGGAAUCACUGGGCGUAAAGGGCGCGUAGGCGGCCUGCUAAGUAGAGGGUGAAAUCCUGCGGCUCAACCGCAGGGCUGCCUUCUAAACUGUCAGGCUGGAGCACGGUAGAGGCAGAUGGAAUUCCCGGUGUAGCGGUGGAAUGCGUAGAGAUCGGGAAGAACACCAGUGGCGAAGGCGGUCUGCUGGGCCGUUGCUGACGCUGAGGCGCGACAGCGUGGGGAGCGAACAGG